CCUACGGGUGGCAGCAGUAGGGAAUCUUCCACAAUGGGGGAAACCCUGAUGCAGCGACGCCGCGUGCGUGAAGAAGUAUUUCGGUAUGUAAAGCUCUAUUAGUAGGGAAGAAAAUGACGGUAACUGAUUAUUAAGCUCACGAUAACUACGUGCCAGCAGGCGCCGUAAUACGAAGGGGCCAAGCGUUCUCCGGAUUUACUGUGCUGAAAGGGAUCGUAGACGGCAGCACAAGUCUGGAGUUAAGUGCUGGGGCUUAACCCCUGUACGGCAUUGGAAACUUGGCCACUGGAGUGCAGGAGAGGAGAGUGGAAUUCCAAGUGUAGCGGUGAAAUGCGUAGAGAUAUGGAGGAACACCAGUGGCGAAAGCGGCUUACUGGACUGUAACUGACGUUGAGGCUCGAAAGCGUGGGGAGCAAACAGGAUUAGAUACCCCAGUAGUC
RNAcentral lists this ribosomal RNA (440 nucleotides) under uncultured bacterium. RNAcentral describes it as "partial 16S ribosomal RNA". It matches the Rfam family "Bacterial small subunit ribosomal RNA", at positions 338 to 795 of the family's 1533-position model. The record is from RNAcentral.